RNAcentral lists this ribosomal RNA (200 nucleotides) under uncultured bacterium. Its description in RNAcentral is "partial 16S ribosomal RNA". It matches the Rfam family "Bacterial small subunit ribosomal RNA", at positions 29 to 255 of the family's 1533-position model. The record is from RNAcentral.
AGCGAACGCUGGCGGCAGGCCUAACACAUGCAAGUCGAACGGAUCCUUCGGGAUUAGUGGCGGACGGGUGAGUAACACGUGGGAACGUGCCUUUUGGUUCGGAACAACUCAGGGAAACUUGAGCUAAUACCGGAUGUGCCCUUCGGGGGAAAGAUUUAUCGCCAUUAGAGCGGCCCGUCGUCUGAUUAGCUUGUUGGUGA